CCCCCCCCCCCCCACCCUUUUCCCGCAGCGCCCCCCCACCACAUCCCUGUCCCCUCAGCAUCCCCUCAGAGCCCCCUCACCACAUCCCUGUCCCCUCGGUGCCCCCUCACCACAUCCCUGUCCUCUCGGUGGCCCCUCAGCAUCCCCUCUCCCCAUAUCCCUGUCCCCUUGGCAUCCCCUCAGGGCCUCCUCACCACGGCCCUAUCCCCUCAGUGUCCCCUCAGCGUCCCCUCACCACAUCCCUGUCCCCUCGGCAUCCCCUCAGAGCCCCCUCACCACGGCCCUGUCCUUUUGGUGUCCCAUCAGCAUCCCCUCCCCACAUCCCUGUGCCCUCAAUGUCCCCUCAGCGCCCCCUCACCACGUCCCUGUCCCCUUGACAUCCCCUCACCACGGCCCUGUCCUCUUGGUGGCCCCUCAGCAUCCCCCCUCCCCAUAUCCCUGUCCCCUUGGCAUCCCCUCAGGGCCUCCUCACCACGGCCCUAUCCCCUCAGUGUCCCCUCAGCGUCCCCUCACCACAUCCCUGUCCCCUCGGCAUCCCCUCAGAGCCCCCUCACCACGGCCCUGUCCUUUUGGUGUCCCAUCAGCAUCCCCUCCCCACAUCCCUGUGCCCUCAAUGUCCCCUCAGCGCCCCCUCACCACGUCCCUGUCCCCUUGACAUCCCCUCACCACGGCCCUGUCCUUUUGGUGUCCCAUCAGCAUCCCCUCCCCACAUCCCUGUGCCCUCAAUGUCCCCUCAGCGCCCCCUCACCACGUCCCUGUCCCCUUGACAUCCCCUCACCACGGCCCUGUCCUUUUGGUGUCCCAUCAGCAUCCCCUCCCCACAUCCCUGUGCCCUCAAUGUCCCCUCAGCGCCCCUUCAUCACAUCCCUUGCCCCUCGGUGUCCCUUCAGCAUCCCCUCCCCACACCUCUAUCCUCUUGGUCCACCCUCCCCACACCCCUGUCCCCUCGGUGUCCAUGCCCAGCGUGAUGGGCACCGGUCGUUGGGUUUGCAAGCACGUAGGUUGUAG
RNAcentral lists this long non-coding RNA (1008 nucleotides) under Struthio camelus australis. RNAcentral describes it as "lncRNA (ENSSCUG00000016752.1)". Lineage: Eukaryota; Metazoa; Chordata; Aves; Struthioniformes; Struthionidae. The record is from RNAcentral.